UGAGGAAUAUUGGUCAAUGGACGCAAGUCUGAACCAGCCAUGCCGCGUGCAGGAUGAAGGCCUUACAGGUCGUAAACUGCUUUUAUACGGGACGAAACCCUUGAACGUGUUCAGGGCUGACGGUACUGUAUGAAUAAGCAUCGGCUAACUCCGUGCCAGCAGCCGCGGUAAUACGGAGGAUGCAAGCGUUAUCCGGAUUUAUUAGGUUUAAAGGGUGCGUAGGCGGAAUAAUAAGUCAGUGGUGAAAUCCUGCAGCUUAACUGUAGAACUGCCAUUGAAACUGCUAUUCUUGAGUAUAGUUGAAGUGGGCGGAAUGUGUCAUGUAGCGGUGAAAUGCAUAGAUAUGACACAGAACACCGAUUGCGUAGGCAGCUCACUAAACUAUAACUGACGCUGAGGCACGAAAGCGUGGGGAUCAAACAGG
Molecule: ribosomal RNA, 424 nt
Filed under: uncultured bacterium
Lineage: Bacteria
Description: bacterial SSU rRNA
Rfam family: Bacterial small subunit ribosomal RNA
Source: RNAcentral